Molecule: ribosomal RNA, 808 nt
Filed under: uncultured archaeon
Lineage: Archaea
Description: bacterial SSU rRNA
Rfam family: Archaeal small subunit ribosomal RNA
Source: RNAcentral
ACGGCUCAGUAACACGUGGCUAACCCACCCUUGAGACGGAGAAAACCCCGGGAAACUGGGGUUAAUCUCCGAUAAGAGAAGACACCUGGAAUGGGUCUCCUCUCAAAGGGCGCCUAGACCAUGCUCCUAGGCGUUGCUCAAGGACGGGGCCGCGGCCGAUCAGGUUGUUGGUGAGGCAACGGCUCACCAAGCCUAUAACCGGUACGGGCCGUGAGAGCGGGAGCCCGGAGAUGGGCACUGAGAUAAGGGCCCAGGCCCUACGGGGCGCAGCAGUUGCGAAAACUCCGCAAUGCACGAAAGUGUGACGGGGCUACCCCGAGUGCCGUCCGCUGAGGACGGCUUUUCCCCGGUGUAAGGAGCCGGGGGAAUAAGGAGAGGGCAAGUCUGGUGUCAGCCGCCGCGGUAAUACCAGCUCUCCGAGUGGUAGGGAUGAUUAUUGGGCUUAAAGCGUCCGUAGCCGGCCCGGCAAGUCUUCCGUUAAAUCCAACGAUUCAAUCGUUGGACUGCAGGAGAUACUGUUGGGCUAGGAGGCGGGAGAGGCCGACGGUAUUCUCGGGGUAGGGGUAAAAUCCUAUAAUCCCGGGAGGACCACCAGUGGCGAAGGCGGUCGGCUAGAACGCGCUCGACGGUGAGGGACGAAAGCUGGGGGAGCGAACCGGAUUAGAUACCCGGGUAGUCCCAGCUGUAAACGAUGCGGGCUAGGUGUUGGGGCGGCUACGGGCCGCUUCAGUGCCGCAGGGAAACCAUUAAGCCCGCCGCCUGGGGAGUACGGCCGCAAGGCUGAAACUUAAAGGAAUUGGCGGGGGAG